ACGGAGGGUGCAAGCGUUAUCCGGAAUCAUUGGGUGUAAAGGAUGCGCAGGCGGAGAGAAAAGUCAGGGGUGAAAGACUACGGCUCAACUGGAGAACUGCAACUGAAACUGCAUAACUUGAGUACUGAUGAGGUAAGCGGAAUUUGCCAUGUAGCGGUGAAGUGCUUAGAUAUGACACAGAACACCGAUGGCGAAGGCAGCUCACCAAGCAGAUACUGACGCUCAUGCACGAAAGUGUGGGGAGCAAACAG
RNAcentral lists this ribosomal RNA (251 nucleotides) under uncultured prokaryote. Its description in RNAcentral is "partial 16S rRNA". It matches the Rfam family "Bacterial small subunit ribosomal RNA", at positions 525 to 775 of the family's 1533-position model. The record is from RNAcentral.